This 498-nucleotide ribosomal RNA is filed under the name uncultured bacterium. Its description in RNAcentral is "partial 16S ribosomal RNA". It matches the Rfam family "Bacterial small subunit ribosomal RNA", at positions 28 to 507 of the family's 1533-position model. The record is from RNAcentral.
GACGAACGCUGGCGGCGUGCCUAAUACAUGCAAGUCGAACGAGAGCAACCGGUGCUUGCACUGGUCAAUCUAGUGGCGAACGGGUGAGUAACACGUGGGUAACCUGCCCAUCAGAGGGGGAUAACGUCCGGAAACGGAUGCUAAAACCGCAUAGGUCUUCGAACCGCAUGGUUUGAAGAGGAAAAGAGGCGCAAGCUUCUGCUGAUGGAUGGACCCGCGGUGCAUUAGCUAGUUGGUGAGGUAACGGCUCACCAAGGCCGUGAUGCAUAGCCGACCUGAGAGGGUGAUCGGCCACAUUGGGACUGAGACACGGCCCAAACUCCUACGGGAGGCAGCAGUAGGGAAUCUUCCGCAAUGGACGCAAGUCUGACGGAGCAACGCCGCGUGAGUGAAGAAGGUUUUCGGAUCGUAAAACUCUGUUGUUAGAGAAGAACAAGUGCUAGAGUAACUGUUAGCGCCUUGACGGUAUCUAACCAGAAAGCCACGGCUAACUACGUG